RNAcentral lists this long non-coding RNA (723 nucleotides) under Nicotiana benthamiana. RNAcentral's name for it is "long non-coding RNA (NBEN_LNC017460)". The record is from RNAcentral. Lineage: Eukaryota; Viridiplantae; Streptophyta; Magnoliopsida; Solanales; Solanaceae.
UUAAAAAAAUAUAUGAAUACAUUCAUGGAAUAUAUCGAGACAAUGAAUACAAUGAAAUACAUAAAAUAUAACGAGAUACAUUGAAAUACCAUAAAACGACAAUGAAUACAGUGAAAUAUGCGAGAUACAUUGAAAAUAUUAACAGAAAAUUCAAGUUGCUCAGCCCCCAACUCCGUCAUCUUUGUUCAAGAACAACCCUAAUGUCGUCUCGUUGAAGCAGUAUCAAUAUCCAGUCCUCGCUCGUCGUCAUCGCUGCCUCCGGUUGCCGACGAUUAACAUGUAAUAACCGGCAAAAUAUACAACAUAAAAUACAUGUUUGGUAGUAGAUCUUGAAGCUAAAGGACUAAUUAGACCAACUCCAAUCUUGAACAGAAAUAAAAGCUAAUGUUACUGCUAAAAUUGCAUGAAUUGUUAAAACCAAACGGUUGCAAAAAUCAAAAGAAUGAGUUGGAAAUAAUUUUCUUGUUAAUAAAAAUAAUGGUGUUCAUGAUACAACUCCAAAUACUAUCAAAUUUAUGAUUGACUCAUCCAUCGGGCAGAAAAUUUUAGUAGUAGAUCUUGAAGCCAAAGGACUAAUUGCUUCAGUGAUGGUGACGGUGACAAUUGCUCCAGUGUCCGGAGGAGGGAAGACAUCGGAAAGAAGAGAGAGGGAGAAUAGAUAUGGGAUAGAGGAUAGGAGAAAUUUGAGGGGAUAUGAGGAGAAAAAUAAUACAGAGCUUAUUU